GUCCAUAUGCAGUGGCAGUAUCGUAGCCAAUGAGGUUUAUCCGAGGCGCGAUUAUUGCUAAUUGAAAACUUUUCCCAUUAUGUCC
RNAcentral lists this small nuclear RNA (85 nucleotides) under Neogale vison (American mink). RNAcentral's name for it is "Neovison vison (American mink) U4 spliceosomal RNA (ENSNVIG00000002068.1)". It matches the Rfam family "U4 spliceosomal RNA", at positions 1 to 85 of the family's 138-position model. From Rfam's summary of the family: U4 small nuclear RNA (U4 snRNA) is a component of the major U2-dependent spliceosome. Lineage: Eukaryota; Metazoa; Chordata; Mammalia; Carnivora; Mustelidae. The record is from RNAcentral.